CAGGCUCCGGCCGAGGGGGCAUUUAUAUUCCCUACCACCUAUCAGGUUGGCCUGGUCACCUGACAUCAAAGUUGGAUCACUGAACAAAGUUGGAAGGAUCAACCCUCGGCUUUGGGCCAUGAGCCCUCACGUCCGCCCACUCCCCAGGCCCAGGCCAGCUCCCUGGGGCUGGGCCAGAGAGGAUCGGAUCCGCUUCCCUCCAGGGCAGGCCAGGGGGCUGGGAGUGGGCGCUGUCCCCAGAGGGAGGGUCCCUGCGGGCACUUGGUCCAGGGGCCCACGCUGCCCCUCUAGUGCCACCUCCCCAACAACCUAUGACUCCAGCCGGCUCCGCAUCUUGGCCUGAGCCUUCUAGAAAGUUCCCUCACGUUCCUGCCUCCUGGGAGACACAGUGAGAAACUAAAGAGCAAAUGAGGUUGCUCGUGCGACAUGAGGGCUCCGGCCAGAAUCGCUGGGCCAGAAUAGACAAGGGCUGCUCCGGAGACGGGGCGGCCAGAUGUGGCGUGCGGAAGGCGGCCAGCACACAGAAUCUCUCACAGGCUGCCAAGGACAGCUCCGGGAGAACUGGGGACAUGUGACCGUGACCGUGGCCGGGAGACGGCAUCCUGGGCUGAGGGCUGGUCUUCUUCCUUCUGCACACAGCAGCACGGGUGUGAGGGGUACCCUGGUUUGUGGACAGGGGGGUGCUGGUUAGGGGUGGAGUGCCGUGACACCGGCAGCCUGCUUUCAAAUGCUCUAUCAUCGCUCCCUGUCAUCCAUCUAUUAUCAUUUAUCAAUCAUCUCUCAAUAAGAGAUGAUUAUCUGUCCAUCCUCUGUCUACCUAUCUAUCCACCAUCUUUAUCUGUCAUCUGUCUUCUAUCUUUCUGUCCAUCCUCUGUCUACCUAUCAAUCUGUCUUCCUAUGGAUCC
RNAcentral lists this unclassified non-coding RNA (905 nucleotides) under Oryctolagus cuniculus (rabbit). RNAcentral's name for it is "partial CYP1A2". Lineage: Eukaryota; Metazoa; Chordata; Mammalia; Lagomorpha; Leporidae. The record is from RNAcentral.